RNAcentral lists this non-coding RNA (31 nucleotides) under Callithrix jacchus (white-tufted-ear marmoset). The record is from RNAcentral. Lineage: Eukaryota; Metazoa; Chordata; Mammalia; Primates; Cebidae. RNAcentral also lists the same sequence under 4 other names.
GGCAUUGGUGGUUCAGUGGUAGAAUUCUCGC